Molecule: transfer RNA, 73 nt
Filed under: Planctomycetota bacterium
Lineage: Bacteria; Pseudomonadati; Planctomycetota
Description: Planctomycetes bacterium (soil metagenome) tRNA-His
Rfam family: tRNA
About the family: Transfer RNA (tRNA) molecules are approximately 80 nucleotides in length. Their secondary structure includes four short double-helical elements and three loops (D, anti-codon, and T loops).
Source: RNAcentral
UGGACGUUAGUGGCAGUGGCCAACACGCCGGUCUGUGGCGCCGGAGACACGGGUUCGAUUCCCGUACGUUCAA